Molecule: ribosomal RNA, 403 nt
Filed under: uncultured bacterium
Lineage: Bacteria
Description: partial 16S ribosomal RNA
Rfam family: Bacterial small subunit ribosomal RNA
Source: RNAcentral
AUUGAACGCUGGCGGCAGGCCUAACACAUGCAAGUCGAGCGAGCGGCGGACGGGUGAGUAAUGUAUGGGGACUGCCCGUUAGAGGGGGCUAACUACUGGAAACGCUAGCUAAUACCGCAUACUAUCGGAUAACCCAGAUGGGAUUAGCUAGUAGGUGAGGUAAUGGCUCACCUAGGCGACGAUCCCUAGCUGGUCUGAGAGGAUGAUCAGCCACACUGGAACUGAGACACGGCCCAGACUCCUACGGAGGCAGCAGUGGGGAAUAUUGGACAAUGGGCGCAAGCCUGAUGCAGCCAUGCCGCGUGUAUGAAGAAGGCCCUAGGGUUGUAAAGUACUUUCAGUCGGGAGGCGUUACCGACAGAAGAAGCACCGGCUAACUCCGUGCCAGCAGCCGCGGUAAUAC